AAAGUUACUUAUUAAACACAAGAGAUACUGUGCCCUGGGAAAACCAUUAUAAACUUUGUCUUUGGGAGGACAGAUUUCUUAAUGAAACACAGAACCACCAUCUCAGAAAAACGAAAAUGGGCAAUCAUCACCAGAAACUACAAGUUCUUCAGCUCAAUACAACACCAAAGGGCCCUAAAAUGAGUCAUCUGAAAGAUGUCACAGAGUCAUGACAUUCUACUGGUAAAGGCUGCAGUAAAACAACAAGUAUGACGCAGACAAAGGACCAGGAGGUGAUGCCAGGCUUCUUGCUUUGGUCUGAUUUCGACUCAGAUUCUUCCUCCUACUUUCUUUAUCCUGCUACUCAUUUUUCAAAUUUGUCCUCUGGGAUGCUUUGAGAAAAAAAAAAAAGAAAGAAAGAAAGACAUCACGGUCCACUUCCAAUCUUCCCUUUUGUGUAACCACAGCAGUUUGCCCUUGGUGACUGGAAAUGCUGCUUUCAUCAGCGCCUACAUGCCGUUUGCCACCAGAAGCUCAGCCUUCUCACAUCUUUUAAAGUAACAUGUUGACAAAAUCGUUACGACCAUCAGGCCAGGGUUGUAGACCCACCUUUGGCACAUAGGAUCCAGGCACUAUGGACAAUAGGGCCAGACAACUCUUUGCGUGGGGGCCAUUCUAUGCAUUAUAGGGUAUUUAGCAGAAUCUUUGGCUUCUAUCAUUGGAUGUACCAGCAGUCUGCCUCUGUUCAUGGCCACCGAAAAUGUCUCUAGAUAGCGCCAGUUGUCUCCUAGAAGAAAUUGGUCCAGGCUGGCUGAGAACCACUGCAUUAGACACAGCUUCAUAUGAGAAGGCAAGGUGAUGGAGAAGAUAUCCCCACCAUGUCUUGACCUCUCUGGAUCUCGACUAGUAACAGCCACCCAUCCCUGCCCUUCUGGCUACUCCCUCAUGGUGACUCUGUCUUUUACAACAGUGGGAAAAGCCAACUGCUCUUGAAGCCUGGGCCUCGUCUCCUACUGGGGAUGGCAGUAGCUGAGGGGCAGCAGCGUCCCCCAGAGGCCCAUGAGUAACACCCGAUGGUGAGGCUGAGAAGGGCUCCCUGCAGAGACUCAAAAGCGAGGAUGUGGGGCUGCUGAGCUGCUAGUCUCCACGCCUAGAUGAGCAGCACCAGCCUGCAGAGACCCAGCUUGAUCUGCUGGUGUGCAGCCCACAGAAGGCUGCCACAUGGGGUGUGCCCACCCUGAGCUUGGAGCAUGACAGGUCAUGUGUUCGCUCUUCUGG
This 1257-nucleotide long non-coding RNA is filed under the name Heterocephalus glaber (naked mole-rat). RNAcentral describes it as "lncRNA (ENSHGLG00100036096.1)". The record is from RNAcentral. Lineage: Eukaryota; Metazoa; Chordata; Mammalia; Rodentia; Bathyergidae.